Hydra vulgaris (swiftwater hydra) is the source of this 182-nucleotide non-coding RNA. Lineage: Eukaryota; Metazoa; Cnidaria; Hydrozoa; Anthoathecata; Hydridae. The record is from RefSeq and is a predicted model, not a curated record.
GAGUGCAAUUCUCAAACCGUAUUAAAGAUGCUUUGUCAAGAAAUAAAGCAGUAAGGGAAAGAGUGUUUCCAGUUUGCUUUCCUUCAAAAAGUUCUCAUACUGGUCAUUUUACUAGAGAUGAUACUUAUUACUUAAGUAUAAAGACGUCCGAAACUUGUGUUGUUUAAAGAAUCUUAAUGUAA